RNAcentral lists this ribosomal RNA (497 nucleotides) under uncultured bacterium. Its description in RNAcentral is "partial 16S ribosomal RNA". It matches the Rfam family "Bacterial small subunit ribosomal RNA", at positions 28 to 507 of the family's 1533-position model. The record is from RNAcentral.
GAUGAACGCUGGCGGCGUGCCUAAUACAUGCAAGUCGAGCGAACAGAUAAGGAGCUUGCUCCUUUGACGUUAGCGGCGGACGGGUGAGUAACACGUGGGUAACCUACCUAUAAGACUGGGAUAACUUCGGGAAACCGGAGCUAAUACCGGAUAACAUUUGGAACCGCAUGGUUCUAAAGUGAAAGAUGGUUUUGCUAUCACUUAUAGAUGGACCCGCGCCGUAUUAGCUAGUUGGUAAGGUAACGGCUUACCAAGGCGACGAUACGUAGCCGACCUGAUAGGGUGAUCGGCCACACUGGAACUGAGACACGGUCCAGACUCCUACGGGAGGCAGCAGUAGGGAAUCUUCCGCAAUGGGCGAAAGCCUUACGGAGCAACGCCGCGUGAGUGAUGAAGGGUUUCGGCUCGUAAAACUCUGUUAUUAGGGAAGAACAAAUGUGUAAGUAACUGUGCACGUCUUGACGGUACCUAAUCAGAAAGCCACGGCUAACUACGUG